RNAcentral lists this long non-coding RNA (354 nucleotides) under Arabidopsis thaliana (thale cress). Its description in RNAcentral is "long non-coding RNA (ATHA_LNC000356)". The record is from RNAcentral. Lineage: Eukaryota; Viridiplantae; Streptophyta; Magnoliopsida; Brassicales; Brassicaceae.
GUUGCACGCUUGUUGUUCAACUGUGAAUGGAGAGUGACCAGUGCUCAUUACUUCAUCAUCACUUUCCCAAUCAUCAUUAUCGUCAUCAUCAGAAUACAGUAACGCGUUGAUUUCCUCAGUGUCUUCGUGCAUUUCCGAGUCUUCUUCGCCAUUUUCAUGAUCUUCAUGUUGCAAUAUCUUUUCUUGAAUGGCAUGAUCUUUACUAAACCCUUUCUCUGGGUGUAGGGCACCGAGAAUGUUCCCUCGCUCUGCAUCCAUAGAAGAAGGAAACCGCAGAGGAAAUCCACAUUGUAACAAACGAGUCUGCUCUCCCGACUGAUCGAAUACUAUAAAUCUUUUCCGAGAAGACUUGAG